This 492-nucleotide ribosomal RNA is filed under the name uncultured bacterium. RNAcentral's name for it is "partial 16S ribosomal RNA". It matches the Rfam family "Bacterial small subunit ribosomal RNA", at positions 29 to 507 of the family's 1533-position model. The record is from RNAcentral.
AGUGAACGCUGGCGGUAGGCCUAACACAUGCAAGUCGAACGGCAGCACAGUAAGAGCUUGCUCUUACGGGUGGCGAGUGGCGGACGGGUGAGGAAUACAUCGGAAUCUACUUUUUCGUGGGGGAUAGCGUAGGGAAACUUACGCUAAUACCGCAUACGACCUACGGGUGAAAGCAGGGGAUCUUCGGACCUUGCGCGAUUGAAUGAGCCGAUGUCGGAUUAGCUAGUUGGCGGGGUAAAGGCCCACCAAGGCGACGAUCCGUAGCUGGUCUGAGAGGAUGAUCAGCCACACUGGAACUGAGACACGGUCCAGACUCCUACGGGAGGCAGCAGUGGGGAAUAUUGGACAAUGGGCGCAAGCCUGAUCCAGCCAUACCGCGUGGGUGAAGAAGGCCUUCGGGUUGUAAAGCCCUUUUGUUGGGAAAGAAAAGCAGCAGGUUAAUACCCCGCUGUUCUGACGGUACCCAAAGAAUAAGCACCGGCUGACUUCGUG